UACGUAGGGGGCAAGCGUUGUCCGGAAUCAUUGGGCGUAAAGAGCGUGUAGGCGGCUUGGUAAGUCCGCUGUGAAAGUCCAGGGCUCAACCCUGGAAAGCCGGUGGAAACUGUCAAGCUUGAGUCCGGAAGAGGCGAGUGGAAUUCCUGGUGUAGCGGUGAAAUGCGCAGAUAUCAGGAGGAACACCAAUGGCGAAGGCAGUGUCCUGGGGAGUACCUGACGCUCAGGUGCGAAAGCCAGGGGAGCGAACGGG
Molecule: ribosomal RNA, 253 nt
Filed under: uncultured bacterium
Lineage: Bacteria
Description: partial 16S ribosomal RNA
Rfam family: Bacterial small subunit ribosomal RNA
Source: RNAcentral